Molecule: long non-coding RNA, 1187 nt
Organism: Humulus lupulus (European hop)
Lineage: Eukaryota; Viridiplantae; Streptophyta; Magnoliopsida; Rosales; Cannabaceae
Exons: 2
Source: RefSeq, a predicted model, not a curated record
GCCUAUGUGUUUAGUGCCAUGGUCCUAUCUUUUGGACGUUAUAUAUGUAUUGUAAAGACUGAGAAAAACAAAUAAAUAUAUAUAUAUAUUAAUGGGUGGGACCCACUUAAGUGAAAAGAGUCAGUGGACUCUUUCUUUUUUUUUCUUCUUUUCCUUUUCCUUCUUUUCUUUCUCUUUCCCCGACUGCCCUCUCUCUCUUCUCUUUCUCUUUUUUCUCUCUUCUCUCCACGGCAACACACCACCACCACCACUAAGACCCAACCUCCGGCAACCACCAUUUUUGGCAUACGGCGGCUCAUUGGAUUCGUCUUGCUCCGGCGACCUCAACCACCAAGCGGCACCGCCCAACUCGCCGUAAGUUGUUCGGAAUAGUCAGUCAAAUUUUGGUCCGUCAACUUUGACUGUGUUUUCCGGCCAACUCCGACCACCACUCGGCAAGUGGUUGAUACCUUUGGAACCAGCGUGGAGAGAGGAGCAAAACCCACUAGGUCAUUCCGGUCAACUCGCCGUUUUUCUCCGGCAAGAUUUUGGGUAUCUCCGCCCUUUGGAAGCGUUUUCCGGCGACACCGGAGGUCAUUUGGGCGAAGGAGCUGUACUUUCGUGAUGUACUCAUCGCGAGGAUCGUUUUGAUAUAUGCCAUGCAUAUAUUCGUCGACGUUUCCGGUACCGCCACCAACCGCUAUAGUGCACUGCUUGGGUAAGGUUCCGGAACUUGAAAUUUUAAAUAUGGUCAUAUUAUAUGUCAUUGGGCACGAUUUUGAAUAAGGAAUGCUAUGAUGAUAAUCGUUUGCUCAUUUGGUGCACGUAGGAAAAACGUGAUAUUAAAAUCGGACUAAAUCAUUCUAAGAUCAUCGAUAAGCUUAGGAGCGUUGCUUUGGGCUCGGAUUAAAUUCUAAGGAGGUAUCUAAAGAGGAGCCUAGUGACGCGAACGUGGAAAAGUGUGAAUUAUUGCUGAAGCCAAUGUGUUUAGUGUCAUAGUCCUAUCUUUUGAACAUUGUAUGUACUUAAUUUGGAACCUAUCGGUCUGUACAUCUAAAUUAGCUAUGUCCUAGUUAGAAAUGAGGAAUGGUGGAUGCUAAGUAUUAUUUUGGGUAUUUUAUGACUCAUUAAAUUUAACUGUUUGGUGACUACAUAACUGUGGGGAUAUUAUUAUUCUAUGUAUUAAGAUAAAUGAUCCUACUUUUAUC